RNAcentral lists this long non-coding RNA (2160 nucleotides) under Homo sapiens (human). RNAcentral describes it as "HSALNT0314649". The record is from RNAcentral. Lineage: Eukaryota; Metazoa; Chordata; Mammalia; Primates; Hominidae.
GUCUCACUGACUUCAAGAAUGAACCUGUGGACCCUCACGCCCCCACCCUGCAUCCUGUAAGGAUAAGAUGCUUGGAGCAGUAGCUACCACCUUGCAGCUGGAGGAGAACGCCAGGAGAAUUUUAGAGUGCCACCUCAUACUGAGAUUCUCCUUCCUCCAACUUCUUAUUAUAGGAGGGCCAUAUGGGAGGAACUGUGGGUCAUCUCAAGGACCUGAAGGGGACCUCCAGCUGAAAGCCAGUAAGAAGUUGGGGCCUCAGUCAUACAGCUGCAAGGAAAUGAAUUUUUCCAACAACCUGGAUGAGCUUGGAAACAGAUUCUACCCCAGUCAAGUACUCAGGUUUCUACAGCAAUGUUAUCUUGAAUGGUUUGUCAACAUGUUUCACUGAGAAAACUUAAAGCAACUCUGGUAAUUACAAGUGGAACCUUGUUACAAGUGGAACCUUGACAACUUCAGAAGUGACCAUCACAACCAAACAUUCCCUGCUCUGAAUCACCUGACAUUCACUGUCUCAUUCACACCAGCUUCUUCAGGUGGCCCUUGAUGAUCUGCCUGCCUCCACAGAGGCUCAGAAAAUUAGCCUUUUCUUUUUUUCUAGAUUUCACUCUUCAUGAUGGAUGUGAAAGACAGUAAAGUAUGCUAGUUAAAACCCAGCCUCUGGAGACAGACUGAUGUGGGGUAAAUCCAGCUUUGCCACUUAACAGUUCUCUGCUCUUGCACAAUUUUACUUAACCUCUCUGAACCUGAAAUCAGGCUAGUUACAGCAUAUUAGUGAAGCAUUCAUCACAGAACCUGAACAUAGGGAGUCCUCAUUAAUGACAGUUAUUAUCAUCGUUAUUAAUAUAUUAUAAUCACAUGGCUAUUGCUUUGUACUUAUCACAUAGUCAUUAAUGUCCCUAGAAUAGUGCAGAUCGGAUGACACCAGUUAUAAGACCCUGAGAAGCUUAACUCAGCAAAACUAAGUUGUUUAAAUCUAUGUUCUAGCUCAGAGGUUGGCAAACUUUCUCUGAAAAGGGCCAGAUAGUAAAUAUUUUAGGCUUGCAGGCCAUAUGGUCUGUGUUGCAACUACUUAAUUCUGCUAUUAUAACUCAAAAGCAGCCAUAGACAAUACAAAAGAAAAUGAGUAUGUUUGUGCUCCAAUUAAAUGUUAUUUACAAAAAGAAUUGGCUGUUUGGAUUUAACGUGUAGGUCAUAGUCUGCCAACCCCUGCUCUAGCCCCUUGUCCAUGUACAGCAAGGUACUCCCAAACAGAAUGCUAAUGGGAAGGGCACGUGGCACAGUAGACACAAUAGAGUUUGAGUCUCGAUUUUGUCAUGUCCUGACUGUAGCAUUCAGGGAAUAUUACUUAACUCUGUAGAAUUCUGAGAAUAUUACUUAAUUCCUCCAUGCCCCAGUUUCUUCCUCUGUAAAUCCUAGGCAAUAGUACUUCCUGGGCAGGGUUUCUGAGGAUAGAUGACCCCAAGUAUAUAAAAGAUAAUUAAGUAAAAGAGAUAACAUAUGUAAAUGAGAUAAUGUAAGUGUGUAUAUUUCAGGCUUUUUUGCAUGAAUUUACUUUGUAUCUAUCUGUUCAACCGGAUUAUGAGUUUGUUGAAGACGAAACAUCUGUUAUCUAUUGCCUUUAUUUCUCUCAUCCUUGUCUCUAGAUCCUAGAAAAGUCGUCUGCACAGAGCAGGGCAUGGCCUGCAUUCCAAAUUUUGUUAUUCUCAAAGGUCAGUUGUUCUCAGUGGCAGACAACAGAAGCCAAGACUUGCUAAGUAAAACAGAAGACAAAUUUGCUGGAAGGACAUGUGAAAAUGGGCACAAAUUAGGAAGCAAGGUCAUACUUGCAUCACUGCUGUUAGGCUGCUACCACUGACUCCUCUGCUCCUGCACUCCCAAAAGCACCAUCAAGAAAAACCCCACACACAGUUCCUUCAUCUUUGCCUUACUUGCUGAAGAUUAGAAGUCCCAGGAUACUGGAUGGCAUGCAGAAUCUUUGGAAGAACAACCAGAUUGCCAGGCAACACAGCUAGAAAAGUGCCCCAAAUCUCACCACAGAACAGAUUUAAUGAAAAUCGCACUUCUGCACUGCUGGGCCAUUAUUACUAUGACCACCGAGAAUGCUGCCUCUAAAGAGUGGAUGGACCUGCUCUCACUGCCCUGCUGCUUCCUGUCCCUAGA